UACAGGGGGUGCAAACGUUGCUCGGAAUUAUUGGGCGUAAAGCGCGUGUAGGCGGCUUGGCAAGUCAGUUGUGAAAGCCCGGGGCCCAACCCCGGAAUUGCAUCUGAAACUGCCUGGCUGGAGUCCCGGAGAGGAAGGCAGAAUUCCCGGUGUAGGGGUGAAAUCCGUAGAUAUCGGGAGGAAUACCAGCGGCGAAGGCGGCCUUCUGGACGGUGACUGACGCUGAGACGCGAAAGCGUGGGGAGCAAACAGG
Molecule: ribosomal RNA, 253 nt
Filed under: uncultured bacterium
Lineage: Bacteria
Description: partial 16S ribosomal RNA
Rfam family: Bacterial small subunit ribosomal RNA
Source: RNAcentral